This is a non-coding RNA of Hordeum vulgare subsp. vulgare (domesticated barley), 136 nucleotides long. The record is from Rfam. Lineage: Eukaryota; Viridiplantae; Streptophyta; Magnoliopsida; Poales; Poaceae.
AAACUACUCCCUUCGUCCCAAAAUUCUUAUCUGAUAUUUGUUUAGAUACGAAUGUAUCUAGUAAAAUUUAGUAUUUAGAUACAUCCAUUUCUAGACAAAAGCUAAGACAAGAAUUUUGGGACGGAGGGAGUAUCAU